UAGUAGAGAAGAUAGUGUACCCCUUAGUAGAGAAGAUUGCUCUGCCUGCAGCUGUACCCGUGGACAAGCUUGGAUUCCACCAGUUCUGUUCACAGCAAUGCAGCUGUGGCAGUUCCCUGCUUAGAGAGAAGCUGGAAUUCGUUGGAACUGGAGCACAUUGUCCCAGGAAGCGCCUACUCCCUGCCAGGACUAUUUGGUACCCGAAGCCGAGCACACAGAUCAUCCUGGGAGGACAAAGAGCCAAAAGACAGCUGGUUUCCAAAGGUCUGGCCUCCACUGUGUGUGACACAGACAGUUGCAAAAUCCUGAUUUCCAGCACUUGCUGGAUCCUGAGCCAGUUGGUGUGACUGGGCAGGUGUGGGUCUGGGUCCUGUCUUUGGGAAUGUUAA
Pseudopipra pipra is the source of this 389-nucleotide long non-coding RNA. RefSeq lists it as uncharacterized. The transcript has 3 exons. The record is from RefSeq and is a predicted model, not a curated record. Lineage: Eukaryota; Metazoa; Chordata; Aves; Passeriformes; Pipridae.